UACGAAGGCAGCAGUGGGGAAUAUUGCACAAUGGGCGCAAGCCUGAUGCAGCCAUGCCGCGUGUAUGAAGAAGGCCUUCGGGUUGUAAAGUACUUUCAGUCGUGAGGAAGGUGUUAAGGUUAAUAACCUUAGCAAUUGACGUUAGCGACAGAAGAAGCACCGGCUAACUCCGUGCCAGCAGCCGCGGUAAUACGGAGGGUGCGAGCGUUAAUCGGAAUUACUGGGCGUAAAGGGCACGCAGGCGGUUAAUUAAGUUGGAUGUGAAAUCCCCGGGCUUAACCUGGGAAUGGCAUUCAAGACUGGUUAGCUAGAGUCUUGUAGAGGGGGUAGAAUUCCAUGUGUAGCGGUGAAAUGCGUAGAGAUGUGGAGGAAUACCGGUGGCGAAGGCGGCCCCUGGGACAAAGACUGACGCUCAUGUGCGAAAGCGUGGGGAGCAAACAGGAUUAGAUACC
This 452-nucleotide ribosomal RNA is filed under the name uncultured bacterium. RNAcentral describes it as "bacterial SSU rRNA". It matches the Rfam family "Bacterial small subunit ribosomal RNA", at positions 340 to 786 of the family's 1533-position model. The record is from RNAcentral.